AGACGGGUCGGGUGGGUGGCCGACAUCGCCGCUGACCCCGUGCGCUCGCUUCGCUCGUGACGGCGUGGCCGAGGACCAAAAAAACCAACCCCCCGGGCCCGACGGCGCGACCCGCCCGGGGCGCACUGAGGACAGUCCGCCCCGCCCCGACCCGCACCGUGGCCCUCCCCACACCCCGGGAAGGGGGGGAGGAGGAGGCGAGAGAGCGAGCAGGGCGGGCGGACAGGCAGACGCGGGCCGCCGCCGCUUG
Molecule: long non-coding RNA, 250 nt
Filed under: Sus scrofa (pig)
Lineage: Eukaryota; Metazoa; Chordata; Mammalia; Artiodactyla; Suidae
Description: lncRNA (ENSSSCG00070020614.1)
Source: RNAcentral